Molecule: long non-coding RNA, 609 nt
Organism: Macadamia integrifolia
Lineage: Eukaryota; Viridiplantae; Streptophyta; Magnoliopsida; Proteales; Proteaceae
Exons: 2
Source: RefSeq, a predicted model, not a curated record
ACAGCUUUGAACGUUGGCUAAUCAUCCUUGUCACUAAUGGCGACUCUGAAUCCCUUUUAUUUUAUUACUUUGAUUGUUAUAUUAAUCUGUCCUGUGUCUUCUCCAGCUUCAUCUGCUCGACCCGCCAGUGGAUUUCAAGAUUAUCUCACCAGUCCCAGCACCAAACCGGUUCCAAAUUUUGUUAAAGUGGAAUAUACCGGAUCUCCUGUAACACAAUUUUUGGUUCGUCGGAAGCUUGCAGGACACGGAGGGGGUCCAGGUGGUCGUGGGCCAGGAGGAUCUGUGCCACCACCACCACCACAAACCCGUUAGUCUUAACUGUGUCUCUUGCGCAGCUUCUCUUUAGUUUUCUGACUGGAUCCGAUGUUUGUUGCCGGAUUUGCAGCUGGACACCUCCGAUGCUCAAUUUCAGAUGUGCAGAGAUGACGAUGUCUGAGGUUCGAUCGUCAGUCGUCACUCAAGCAUUCGACCUCUUUUUCUUAUUGAUUUUUUUUUUUUUUGGGGUGGGGGGUUGGGGUGGGGGAGAAUUUCCUAUUGACUCUAACAUUGUCAGAUGUAGAGAGAUGGCCGGUGUCCAACCUCCGAUUGUCACAUAUUCUAUCUUUGGGG